Molecule: small RNA, 291 nt
Filed under: Aspergillus aculeatus ATCC 16872
Lineage: Eukaryota; Fungi; Ascomycota; Eurotiomycetes; Eurotiales; Aspergillaceae
Description: 5' ureB small RNA
Rfam family: 5' ureB small RNA
Source: Rfam by way of RNAcentral
UCGUCCGCCUGUUGAGGGCAGAUGAAGUGAAUGUGCGUAUCGAACCCACCAGCAGUCACGAUCUUGUUCUCUCCAGCAAUCACAUCCGUCGAAGAGCCAAUGACCAUACCCGGCGUCACGCCGUCCAUGAUGUCCGGGUUUCCAGCUUUGCCGAUACCAACGAUAAGCCCUUCCCUGAUACCAAUAUCGGCCUUGAAGAUGCCAGUCCAGUCGAUGAUCAGCGCGUUCGUAACAACCGUAUCCAGACACUCCGUGGUGGACUUGUCCGAAGACUGGCCCAUCCCAUCCCGA